This 326-nucleotide ribosomal RNA is filed under the name uncultured Chloroflexota bacterium. Its description in RNAcentral is "bacterial SSU rRNA". It matches the Rfam family "Bacterial small subunit ribosomal RNA", at positions 1037 to 1382 of the family's 1533-position model. The record is from RNAcentral. Lineage: Bacteria; Bacillati; Chloroflexota.
GGUGCUGCAUGGCUGUCGUCAGCUCGUGCCGUGAGGUGUAUGGUUAAGUCCCACAACGAGCGCAACCCUCGUCGCUAGUUAAUUCCUAGCGAGACCGCCCGCAAAACGAGGAGGAAGGCGGGGAUGGCGUCAAGUCAGCAUGGCCUUUAUACCCUGGGCGACACACACGCUACAAUGGGUGGUACAGUAGGUAGCGAAGGAGCGAUCCGGAGCAAAUCCUUAAAACCAUCCUCAGUACGGAUUGCAGGCUGAAACCCGCCUGCAUGAAGCCGGAGUUGCUAGUAACCGCAUAUCAGCAUGGUGCGGUGAAUACGUUCUCGGGCCCU